UUGUGACUUGGAACGCACGUGCGUUUAACUGAUAACGAAUAAUUUUGUUCUAAAAAAACAAUCAUUAGCCAUACCACCCUCCAGCUAUGCGUAGCUAUUUUAAGCGGAUCAUUCGCAUAUUGUGUAAGACUUACCUCCGAACUUUCUUACGAAAUAGACCAUGGCUUGGUGUGUUGUUAAUUUUAUGAACGAUAAUUCAGUGGAAGAUUUUCCCGACUUUUGGUUUAAUCACAAAACUGGAACGUGUGCCUGCCAACUAACCGCUUAAAUAACAGUCAGUUAUUGAAAAAAGGAGAAUAUCUAAUAGAAAAAAAUUUUAAUAUUUCAAAGCCAGAGUUUUCUCUAGUUGUGAACACAUCGUGAUCUAAUUUGAUUUAGUUAAUUUUUUGGAUGCAAGAGAUAAAUGUAGGCUUGCUGAAGAUACAUCUGAUUUAGAUGGAUUGUCAUCUAAACGAAAAAAGUAAAAAAAAAAUUUAAUUCUAAUCGGUCUGAGAGGUCUACUCCUAAUUCAUCACCUGAACUUGCUGAUCUAAAAAUUGAAAGUGAUUGUCCUUUAUUUUCUUCUGAAUCUGAUGACGCUAAUUCACCAAAUCGGUAUAAUUUUUCACCUCCCAAUAAAAGAUUAGUCACAUCAAAAAUAUCAUGCACCUCAUAUUCUAAAAAUUUGAAAACAUAACUGAAUCUUCAAAAAAACGCUAUCAUUUACAAUCUAAUAAUAAUUUUUCUGUAUCACCAUCAGCAUUAUCAUACAGCUCAAAAUCUACAAAAUCUAAGAAAAUAAAUGAUUCACCACGAAGUUGCAAUUAUUUAUGUGCUAAAAAAUGUUUAAUUUUUCUACCAUAUAUAGAAAAUAAUUGUUCAAGUAGCCCAAGAGAUAAUUUUUGUUGUAUCUUAAGAAAUUUUAAUUCUGUUUGAACUAAAAAAAUUUAUAGAUGGCACUUUAUCUACUCAAAAACUUGUUUAAUCACAGCUCAUCAGAAAUUGACCAAUUAAAUAAGUAAAACAUGAGACCCUUGAGCUUAGAGUGCUGAAAUUGAGGUUUGGGUGCUAUAACACAAUCUAUUGCUCUUGUAGUUUAAACACUGAGCAUACCUAUUUGAUUUUGGAAUAAGACAGUUAUAUUCUUUUUUUUUGGGAGCACUCUUGGCUAAAGAGGUUUUGAUAUAAUUUCUUGAACAUCAAUUGUAUUACUGUCAAUUUAUUUUUACUAGUUACUUUUUAUUUAAGUAGAUUUAUACAUUUUUUAAAAUUUAGAUUAUUUAUUUUAUUCAAUGACAUAUUAUAUAUUUUUAAUAUUUAAUAUAUGUAAGUAUAUUUUUUUGUGUAAGAGUAGCUUUUCAAAGUAAAAUGUUUAAAACCCAACUUUUCAUUAAAUAUGAAAUUAAAUCAAUAAAUGAAAAAUUGGACAUUUUGUUACAAAAUUUUGAAAGGUUAGAAAAUUUGAAGGUACUUACCAUUUCAGAAAAUAGUUCCACAACUGAUUAUUCAGCUAUGAAUUAUAUCUUCCCUAUUGAAUUGGAGACUGAUUUAGAAAGUGUGAAUGAGCAAAUUUUAUCAGAUUCUGCUUACCAAAAAAAACUGAUUAAAGAACUUUCAUUAUUGGGUAGAGGUAAUGUAAGAAAAAUAUUAAAACGGAUAAUGACUAAACUAUUCAGUGAUUAAGUAUUGCAGCAUUACUAAUAUGUUGGUAGAGGUAUAAAAGGGAAAAAAAAUUUUAGCCAGUUACCAAUUUUUAAGGUUGUAUUUGGUAAGCAAUAACUUGUCUGACUUUUUAA
Molecule: long non-coding RNA, 1775 nt
Organism: Daktulosphaira vitifoliae (grape phylloxera)
Lineage: Eukaryota; Metazoa; Arthropoda; Insecta; Hemiptera; Phylloxeridae
Exons: 6
Source: RefSeq, a predicted model, not a curated record